Molecule: microRNA precursor, 84 nt
Filed under: Bombyx mori (domestic silkworm)
Lineage: Eukaryota; Metazoa; Arthropoda; Insecta; Lepidoptera; Bombycidae
Description: mir-2807 microRNA precursor family
Rfam family: mir-2807 microRNA precursor family
Source: Rfam by way of RNAcentral
UAUAUUAAAAUUUGUAUGGAAUAGGAUCGUUUGCCUACGUUUGUCGCUAGGGGCGCUGUUCCAACUGCAUACAAAAUUGGCUUA